RNAcentral lists this long non-coding RNA (670 nucleotides) under Ananas comosus (pineapple). RNAcentral describes it as "long non-coding RNA (ACOM_LNC010130)". The record is from RNAcentral. Lineage: Eukaryota; Viridiplantae; Streptophyta; Magnoliopsida; Poales; Bromeliaceae.
AUUUUUCUUCGUACUAGUUAUUUUAGGGAUAAUCGACCCUCCCUAGAGCAAGUGGUAAAAAAUUUGAUGGUUGAUAUUCGAGAUCCAAAUUCGAAUCCUAGUUGAUUCACAUUUUCGGCUAAGUUUAUUUUAAAUGAAAUAAACGAAGCAGGUGGCGUGUUACCUAUCUCUAAAAAAAAAAAAAAAAAAUUAUUUUAGGGAUAGAAUUAAAUUCAGAAUUGAGGUGAAAUUAGAAUAAUUUUGUGUUUAGUUGAGAAUUCAAUUUAGUCUAGAUAUAAGAUAAAAUAGUGUUUGGUCAAAAUAAGCGGAAUAAAAACAAUAGUUGAUAGUUAUAAAUAAAAAAUAAUAAUAUUGUCCCAAUUAUUAUAUUUAAAUUUAAAUUUAAAUUUUAAAUAAUUAAAAAUAAUAAUUUAAAAUUUAAAUAUAUAUAUAUAUAUAUAUAUAUUUUUAAAUCUCAAAUUUAAAAAUUUAAAGUUACAAAUAUAAAAUAUCAAAUUUAAAAUUUAAAUAAUUACAAAUAAUAAUUUUUAAUUUUUAAUUUUAAAUUUUAAAUUUUAAAAAAUAAAUAUUAAUUUUAAAAUUUAAAAUUAUAAAUUUUUUAAAAUUUUAAUUUAAAAAGUAAAAUUUAUAUUUAUAUUUAAAAAUAAAAUAUGGGUGGGAUUAACUUAAU